UCGACAUAGAUGGCUUGUAUG
This 21-nucleotide non-coding RNA is filed under the name Caenorhabditis elegans. The record is from RNAcentral. Lineage: Eukaryota; Metazoa; Nematoda; Chromadorea; Rhabditida; Rhabditidae.